AACCCUUUCAAAGAGAGGCUGCUAUACUUAACUACAUAGGGCUCCGGGAAGCAAGGAUGCUGAUCUUGUCCAUUAUUUAAAAAAAAAAAAAAAAAAAAAACCCACACUAUACAUAUGUGAAUAGUCACACAAUCAGUAAUGUUAUUUCUUUGUGCAUGAUGGAAAAUGGACAGAUGCAUAAAGUUUGCGUUCCUUGCAGGACAUCCACUUAAUAGGGCAGAAAACCUGUGAAUUCUUUUUCUCUGAGUGAAAACGAGGCUCUCUAGUCUUUUCUCUGUAAGACCAACUGAAAAAAAAUACUGAGGUCUGAGAUCACCAUCACAGACACCUGAAUGACUAUCUACAUUGGUUCAUAGCACAAGCAAAUCUGUGCUUGCUAGUGGCUUUCAACUUAAGACGAAAUGUGAUGUCCACUCCCGGCUCACAUUAAGUUAGGGCAGCGCACACAACCAUCCCAUUGCUGGGUAGGAAGGAUUUCUCAAGUUAGGUGGGUCCAGACCGGACUGCUUGAAUUAUUUUCAUUGUUGUCACAGGCUGUGAAGUAGCCCUGAAAGGCGAGGGCUGCGAGAUGUGCGUGUGCACGCGCGUGAGGGCUGGUGUGUGCUCGUGUGAGUGCGUGCGCUUGUGAGCGCCGGUGUGUGCUCGUGUGCACGCGUGAGUGUGUUCGUGUGAGCGUGCAGGGGCUGUGGAGUUCGGGGUUUCGUGAGUGGGAGCAGGUGGCCGGCCGGGCGGGGGCAGAAGGCCAGGUGAGGGCGGCGGAACGGGGGGCGCCCAGCUCAACCGGGGGCGGGCGUCAACCGCCGGGACGCGGGUUCCCCGCGCGCGAGGGCGCGAGGCCGGCGGGGAGGCGCCCGCCAGCCGCGCCGGGUCACGUGGCGCGGUCACGUGGCGCGGAGCCGGGCCCAACGGCGGCGGCGGUGGCGGCGGCGGCGGCGGCUGAGGGAGGCGGAGACUCGGCCGAGACGCGGGGGGGAGGCGGCGGCGGCGGCGGCGGCGGUGGCGGCGGCGGCGGCGCGGGGCUGCUGGAGGCGGAGGCGGAGAGGCGCGGAGGAGCGCGGGGCCGCCGCCACGGGCGCUCGGAGGUGAGGCGGGAGCGGGGCCGCUGUCACGGGCGCCCGGGGCCGGGCGCUGCCGCCCUCCCUGGCGAGGAGGCGACGGGCCCCAGCGCCGCCGGGAGCGCCCUCCCGAGCCCGGCCGGGCGCCCGUCCCUCGAGAUUUGUAAGACUCCAGGGCCUUCAAGCUGUGAUCAGUCAGACGGUUCCUGA
Molecule: long non-coding RNA, 1265 nt
Filed under: Felis catus (domestic cat)
Lineage: Eukaryota; Metazoa; Chordata; Mammalia; Carnivora; Felidae
Description: lncRNA (ENSFCAG00000053754.1)
Source: RNAcentral